Long non-coding RNA from Triplophysa dalaica, 2292 nucleotides. RefSeq lists it as uncharacterized. The transcript is spliced from 2 exons. The record is from RefSeq and is a predicted model, not a curated record. NCBI's taxonomy places the organism in Eukaryota, Metazoa, Chordata, Actinopteri, Cypriniformes, Nemacheilidae.
AUGAAUAAGACAUUUAUAUAGCACUGAAUUGUGUAUUCCUUUACACCUAAAGUGCUUUAUAAUCAUAUGUGGGGGAGUCUACUUUUUGGCCCCUGGACUUUCCACCUCUGGUCAAAUAAAUGUGGAACAAGUUUGUUUUGACCUGUUUUUGGAAAGUUGUUAAGGAUGCUGCAGUUCGGGUGGAGGCUGGCAGUUCAUUCCACCACAGUAGAACCGAUUGAGUAAAGGUUUUUGCAAGCGAUUUGGUGCCUCGAGGAACAACCAGGCCCGCUCAUUUUCAGACUGAAGAUGAUGAGAGGGGAUGUAGACCUGGAGCAAUUAGUUAAGGACUUGACUGCAUUGUUUGGAAGGCCGGCCAGAAGAUUAUUGUUCAGUGCAGCGUCAAGGCUCAGGUGGUGGUUCAGGGGAGCCACGGUGUGCCAGUCCGGGAGAGCGACAUAGUGCCGGUCCGGGUGAGCCGUGGUGUCCAUGCCGUUUAUUACGGCUGCGGGACUUUGUGGGGGACUAUGGCUUGAUGUUAGGGUAAGUCAGGAUGCUCAACAUGCCUGCCGAUGUGAUCAGAUGGUGACAGGGUAGUGUGAACUGACGGAACUGAGGUUACGUCCGUAACCAAGACGUUCCCUUUCUGUCGGUCUCUUGACAUUGUGUCGACAGAAUGGGGUCCUUAUAUGAAACGCCACAGCACUGAGCCGAGUCACGACUUCCAGCAGAGUGACACUGACUGGCCUGGGUGAUUCACAAGUGAGCAUAACCGCAAAUCGUAACCCUCCAGUCGUGUAAUAAGGUAUCGGUUCUCGUGACGAGAGCCUCUUACCUAUGGCCAUACAGGUAGUGGCCUUUCCUACUCUAGAGACGAGAUAGCUGCCCGGCACCAGAAGGAACAGUGGGAAGUGCUACCCCCUAGCAGACUGUAAAUAUACAAUUGUAUAAUUACUGUAGAAAAAAGCUUCUCUUACUGCCUGUAGAAGCACUAUUUUAGGAAACGCUCCACAUGGUCGUAUAUGGGGAAUGUUGUGAACAACCAACGUGGUUGCAUAAGUUGGAGGACUUGUUGAAUAGUCAGUGGUAUCCCCAGAAUAUGUCUGUAAAGUUUAAGCUCAAAAUACACCACAAGUCUUUCAUUACAAUAUGUUGAACAUGGCCAUUUUCUGGCUGCAAUGGAAAACGCACUGUUUUUGUGUGUCUCCUUAAAUGCAAAUGAGCAUCUGCUUCCCCCCUGUAUGCAAAAUGUGGCGUAGAAUAAUUACACAUGUGCUUUGGAAAAUGGCCAACAGCAUGUCUCUGGCGGAAGGUGGAACUACACGCUCAUAAGGCGGAGUCUGUAAGCGGUCAUGGGCAGGUGUCACUGUUGUGGUUUAAAGGAGAUUAAAAAAAGAAGAACAGAUGGAUUUGUAUAAUUACAGGGUUUUUUUGCACACAUGCAAGGGUUUACAAUUUAAAUUUGCUUCAUGCAUGCAAUCAAUGCUUUAUUCGGUUUGAAUCAUUUUCAAUGCAUAGGAAGUGUUUUCAUUUAAUGCUGGGUUGCAUGCAGAGCUUUAAUGUUUGCAUUGGCUCUGUGUUUUGUGCAUAUUGAGAAAUGCAGCGAGGGAGAUCAAUGGCCCAUUUCAAAAAGGUUAAACCAACUCUAGGUUAAACCUUGAACUCAGAGUUGGAUUACUUAAAAGUCAGAAACUUUAGAGUUUUUGGUGUCAGAACAGCUGGUUUGAGUUAGUUCAAUUUAUUCUGGGUAGACUCACCUUGAGUUAAGUGGGUGCACCACGACUAUAAAAAGCCAUCAUCAAAGGAGCUCGGAUGUUACAAUUCACCAUGGCAACAGCACCAAAAAACAACAUGGGGGCAGAAAGCACUUGUGAGCAAGGCAAACUUUCCACUCUGCAUACAGUGGAUUUACAAAUGUGCUGAAAAUGACUUAAAUUUAAAUUAAUAAUACAGAAACAUGAACCAAUAAACAGAUGAAUUAAUCAUUAUAUGAAUGAAACAACAGCAAUAAAAAAAUCUUAUGUUCUCCACGAUUUAAACUUCCAGACAUCAAGAAUCAUCUUAUGAAUCUCAACAUUGGUGACAAAGUUGAGUUGCAUCUUUUCUUCAUGCAGCAAUGCAUGCUGGGAGUCAUGGAGGAGUUCUGUUCUAGGCUAUUACCCACAAUGCAUAGACGCAUAAAGCUUUCUUUUGUUGAGUUUCAUGAGCUGAUUCUUGAUGUCUAAAUUGUUCAGAUGAUAUUUCUACUAUUGUAAUAAUACAAAAUGUUUCACCUCACUGAGUCGUACAAUAAUAAAACACAUAUACAUUUUA